AAACGACUCUCGGCAACGGAUAUCUCGGCUCACGCAUCGAUGAAGAACGUAGCAAAAUGCGAUACUUGGUGUGAAUUGCAGAAUCCCGUGAACCAUCGAGUUUUUGAACGCAAGUUGCGCCCGAAGCCAUCCGGCUGAGGGCACGCCUGCCUGGGCGUCACG
RNAcentral lists this ribosomal RNA (162 nucleotides) under Hieracium venosum. RNAcentral's name for it is "5.8S ribosomal RNA". It matches the Rfam family "5.8S ribosomal RNA". Rfam says of the family: 5.8S ribosomal RNA (5.8S rRNA) is a component of the large subunit of the eukaryotic ribosome. It is transcribed by RNA polymerase I as part of the 45S precursor that also contains 18S and 28S rRNA. RNAcentral also lists the same sequence under 1 other name. Lineage: Eukaryota; Viridiplantae; Streptophyta; Magnoliopsida; Asterales; Asteraceae. The record is from RNAcentral.